Myotis lucifugus (little brown bat) is the source of this 76-nucleotide non-coding RNA. NCBI's taxonomy places the organism in Eukaryota, Metazoa, Chordata, Mammalia, Chiroptera, Vespertilionidae. The record is from Rfam.
GAGACACCCUUCUGGGGCAAGACUUGCUUCAGUGGGUCUCUGGUGCUCACUGAGUCUUCCCCCUGAAUAUGUCCCU